AUUGAACGCUGGCGGCAGGCCUAACACAUGCAAGUCGAGCGAGCGGCGGACGGGUGAGUAAUGUCUGGGAAACUGCCUGAUGGAGGGGGAUAACUACUGGAAACGGUAGCUAAUACCGCAUACCAUCAGAUGUGCCCAGAUGGGAUGUGCUAGUAGGUGGGGUACCGGCUCACCUAGGCGACGCUCCCUAGCUGGUCUGAGAGGAUGACCAGCCACACUGGAACUGAGACACGGUCCGGAGUCGAAAGGGAGGCAGCAGGGGGGAAUAUUGCACAAGGGGCGCAAGCCUGAUUCAGCCAGGCCGCGUGUGUGAAGAAGGCCUUCGGGUUGUAAAGCACUUUCAGCGGGGAGGCGUUACCCGCAGAAGAAGCACUGGCUAACUCCGUGCAAGCAGCCGCGGUAAUUC
RNAcentral lists this ribosomal RNA (406 nucleotides) under uncultured bacterium. Its description in RNAcentral is "partial 16S ribosomal RNA". It matches the Rfam family "Bacterial small subunit ribosomal RNA", at positions 29 to 526 of the family's 1533-position model. The record is from RNAcentral.